RNAcentral lists this ribosomal RNA (468 nucleotides) under uncultured bacterium. Its description in RNAcentral is "partial 16S ribosomal RNA". It matches the Rfam family "Bacterial small subunit ribosomal RNA", at positions 28 to 507 of the family's 1533-position model. The record is from RNAcentral.
GAUGAACGCUGGCGGCGUGCCUAAUACAUGCAAGUCGAACGAAAAGGCGCUGAUCUUGCGGGGUGCUCGAGUGCCGAACGGGUGAGUAUCACGUGAGUAACCUGUACUUGACUUUGGGAUAACUUUUGGAAACUCGGGCUAAUAUCGGAUAGGAGCUCUUGAUGCAUGGUGGGGGUUGGAAAGUUUCGGCGGUUGUGGCUGGACUCGCGGGUUAUGCGCCUGAUGGUGGAGUAGUGGCGUACCAAGCUUUCGACGGCUACGCGGCCUGAGAGGGGGGCCGGCCACAAUAGUACUGAGAGAGGGACCAGACUCGUACGGGCGGCAGCAGUGGAGAGUAUUACACAGUAGGCGGAAGCCUGAUGCAGCAACGCCGGGUGCGGGAUAACGGGCUACGGGUGAUAAACCGCUUUCUACGUAAACGAAGCGGGAGUGACGGUAAUGGAUAAGAAAGCACCGGCUAACUACGUG